AAGCUUUGCUUUAAAGAAGGCUGGACACAUUUGCACCACACACUUACAUGACACACUGAUACUCACUCACAUUUACAUCACACUUAAACUAAGACACACUCAUUCACACCCUCUUUUAAAGACAACACUGACAUACUGACAUAUUGACUAGGAGAACAGCUGAAGCCAGAAGUCAAACGUCAUUUCCUGUUUCUUCCUGCAUCACUUUGGAAAAUCUCAGAAGACAACAUGGCCUGAGGCUGCUCACAUGCUUUCAUAAGCUUGCUACAAUACUAUCGAUCCAAUUCCAGAUAUUUUCAUCUACGCUAAACUGAACUUUAUACUAUUUUUCAUUGUGUUUGUGAUGCCACCUGUGUGACAAUGAACUCACACGUUAUUUUCAAAUCAACCUGACUAUGAAUGAUCUUCAUUCAGAUACGCCCUUGAAGCUAUAAGAAUAUUAGUUAUUAAUUUUACAUUCUUACAGUGGCGAGCCAAAGAAAGUACUGUCUUAUCUCUAUUUUUACGGAAAUCUCGACCCUUGAUGAGGGGGGGAGAGAUUGGCGCAGUCUUUGCGAAUAUUCAAGUCUCGAGAAAAAAGACGGUUCAGAACCUAUCAAGCAAGAGGCGUUUGUGCCGCGUCAGAUGUGGACAACAGUCCAGUAACAGACGGUUGAUGACGAGAAAUCCUUCUAAUAACGAUAUGGCAUCUAAAAUCAAACAAAUAUGGAGGAUAACAGGCUUCUAUAAAGAGCAAAGAGAAAUUCAAAGUUAAAGAAGAGAUCCUUUUUGGAAGAAUAUUUGACAAAAGAUUUAUAUUUCAUAUUUAUGAACUAUUUUAUCUUAUUCAUCAAGGUUUUUCUAACGGAACUUGAAGAAGACAUUUUAAAGACAUUUCAUGAAGAAACAUUAAUCGGAAGGAACAUUAUCUAUCUACUAUAGAUAAACAAUUUAGGACUGAAACAUUUGUCCACAUAUACAUAUACAUUUUUUGAUUAUCCAAUUAUUAUGAUAUUAAUGUUCACAUGAAGUUA
Long non-coding RNA from Rana temporaria (common frog), 1013 nucleotides. RefSeq lists it as uncharacterized. The record is from RefSeq and is a predicted model, not a curated record. The transcript is spliced from 2 exons. Lineage: Eukaryota; Metazoa; Chordata; Amphibia; Anura; Ranidae.